GGCAAGUCCCUUAGCCUGCUUCCUUACCCAUAAAGAGGGAGGGUAAAGUCCCAUAGAAUUGUGGUGAAAAUUAAAUAUUUGAUGUACUUAAUAGUGUCUGAGGCAUUUAGUUUUCAGUCUAUGCUAUUAUUAACCACUGUAGAGUCUCUUUUGUGAAGUUGUCGAAUUAGCCAGAAACUAUUUAAAAAGAUUUCCUAAUAAUUUAUUUUAGUACAAUCUCCUUUUAUCCUUUCAGACUUCUUAACCAUCACUUUAGCUUAGGGGUAUAAACGUAUUUACUGUGUAGAUUUUUCUCCAUUCAUGGGUACUGUGACCAUAUUUCCGAACCACGGACAAGGAGACUCGAUUUGAAUCCUGGUAUGUUAGUGGAAAAAAUAUUGGAGAUUGUGACUGUCCCAGAAAUUUUUAGUUAUAUGUCAUCAUAUCUGUGGGAAACAUAGUAUACCUAAGACGGCUGGAAAGGAAGUUUAGGGGAGAGACCCACACUUAAGAAAACUGAGUUUUUAGAUUAUAGACAUGAUAGUACGGUGAUUUCUUAAUGCUCUUUCAUCACUGGGCAUUUGAUAUGGGUUACAAUAUGAGCUAUGGGCUAAGAUUAAGAAAAUUAUUGUUUUCUUUUUAGGUGGAAAAUUAUGCAUACCAUAUCGGUAACUUAACAGAGGGAAGAGAAGCAUUUUCUCAUGUUUAUGAAAAGGAAAAUGAACAGCUUAGACAUGAGUUUAAAAAGCUCCAACUCAGGAACCCCAACUAAAGAAGAUUGAAGAAAUGUUAUAUCUAGAAGGCUUGUCUGAAAUAGCUCUGAGUAGUUCCAGUGAACAAACUGCAUACUUAUUGGUGGAGAGAAGUACACUCUUGGGGAAACUGGAACUUAUGGACUCCAAGUCAGAGUCAACAAGAUGUGUGAGCAAUAACCUACAGUCCCUUAAUGAACACCUGGAAAAAGAUAAGACAUUACAGAACUACUUAGAGAGAGAUAUGGAGCAAGCAGCAAAGUCAUUAGGGAUAGCCCAUGAAGAGAUUCGAAGACUUACUGAUGAAUUAAAAGUGAAGGAGAAAGAGCAGAGUAAAUUAGGUAAGCCGUGGUUACAAAUAUUACAUCCUCAUGGUAUAAUGAUUUUUUUAAAAAAAGAUUUAUUUAUUAUUUUUCCUUUAUUUUAUUUAUUCUCCCCUGCCUUGUUUGUGCUUGCUCUCUGCUCUGAGCUCUCCGUGGUGCAUGGGCCAUCAGUUCUCUGCAGAGGCGUGGUCCAGCUUGUCUUCACCAUUAGGCCCUGGGAAUCCAACCCCCGGUCUCCCAUAUGGUAGGCCAUAACCCAAUCGCUUGAGCCUCAUCUGUUUUCUAGUGUAAUGAUCUUUUAAUGUUUUUAUUUAGAUUUUUGCUCCAU
This 1382-nucleotide long non-coding RNA is filed under the name Dasypus novemcinctus (nine-banded armadillo). Its description in RNAcentral is "lncRNA (ENSDNOG00000051409.1)". Lineage: Eukaryota; Metazoa; Chordata; Mammalia; Cingulata; Dasypodidae. The record is from RNAcentral.